CGGGUGAGUAACGCGUAAACAACCUGCCCUUCGGAUGGGGAUAACAGCCGGAAACGGCUGCUAAUACCGAAUACGAUCUUUUCGUCGCAUGACGGAAAGAAGAAAGGAUGGCCUCUAUACAAAGCUAUCGCCGAAGGAGGGGUUUGCGUCUGAUUAGCUGGUUGGAGGGGUAACGGCCCAACAAGGCGAUGAUCAGUAGCCGGUCUGAGAGGAUGAACGGCCACAUUGGGACUGAGACACGGCCCAGACUCCUACGGGAGGCAGCAGGG
RNAcentral lists this ribosomal RNA (269 nucleotides) under uncultured Megasphaera sp. RNAcentral describes it as "partial 16S ribosomal RNA". It matches the Rfam family "Bacterial small subunit ribosomal RNA", at positions 103 to 354 of the family's 1533-position model. Lineage: Bacteria; Bacillati; Bacillota; Negativicutes; Veillonellales; Veillonellaceae. The record is from RNAcentral.